Molecule: ribosomal RNA, 252 nt
Filed under: uncultured prokaryote
Description: partial 16S rRNA
Rfam family: Archaeal small subunit ribosomal RNA
Source: RNAcentral
ACCGGCAGCUCAAGUGGUGGCCAUUAUUAUUGGGCCUAAAGCGUUCGUAGCCGGUUUGAUAAGUCUCUGGUGAAAUCCCGCAGCUUAACUGUGGGACUUGCUGGAGAUACUAUCAGACUUGAGGUCGGGAGAGGUUAGGGGUACUCCCAGGGUAGCGGUUAACUGCUACAAUCCGGGCGGGGAGAACCGGGGGCAAGUGGCUCAACUUGAACGAAACCGCCGGUGAGUGGCGGUCGCCAGGGCGGGGAACGA